Non-coding RNA from Candidatus Woesebacteria bacterium, 82 nucleotides. Lineage: Bacteria; Candidatus Woeseibacteriota. The record is from Rfam.
GCGCGGGUGGCGAAAAGGUAUACGCAACUGUCUUGAAAACAGUCGUCGGUAAGACAUGAGGGUUCAAUUCCCUCCCCGCGCA